UUGAUGGUGUCUGGAAGAUCAGAGCAAAUCAAGGCCAUAGUGUGGGUCAAGUUGUGAAAGAUGAAGACCUUUUGCAAAGGAUCACAAGUGAAGCCGGAUUCUCUACCG
RNAcentral lists this ribosomal RNA (108 nucleotides) under Heterosigma akashiwo. Its description in RNAcentral is "partial Microsporidia small subunit ribosomal RNA". The record is from RNAcentral. Lineage: Eukaryota; Raphidophyceae; Chattonellales; Chattonellaceae.